Small nucleolar RNA from Peromyscus californicus insignis, 113 nucleotides. RefSeq annotates it as small nucleolar RNA SNORA28. Lineage: Eukaryota; Metazoa; Chordata; Mammalia; Rodentia; Cricetidae. The transcript has a single exon. The record is from RefSeq and is a predicted model, not a curated record.
AAGCACCACUCUGAAACCAUCUGACACAAUUUGAGCUUGUUCUAGCAAAAAUGUCUAACCUAUUCCAGUGUUCUCUUCCGUACAAAACAAGCUAUCAUAUAGGCUCAAACAAU